Molecule: non-coding RNA, 181 nt
Filed under: Chloroflexota bacterium
Lineage: Bacteria; Bacillati; Chloroflexota
Source: RNAcentral
CCCGUUCAGCCCUCUCUCGGUGCUCGAUACCCCGGAUGGUCGAGCACAAUGGCGAAGCCGGUGAAAGUCCGGCGCUGUCGCGCAACUGUAAGCUGAGGCCGCUUCAAGCUGACCACCCGCCGAGCGGCGGGCCAUCAGGCACUCAGCAAGCCAGGUCGCCCGCCGAGUUGAGAGCCCAUCU